This is a long non-coding RNA of Astatotilapia calliptera (eastern happy), 1379 nucleotides long. The record is from Ensembl. NCBI's taxonomy places the organism in Eukaryota, Metazoa, Chordata, Actinopteri, Cichliformes, Cichlidae.
UGAAUGUCUGUUAUCUGACGACUACAGGAAAGAGCACAGCCCACAGAAACCAAAAGGUUCAAAUGACAGUUUCUAAUGCAGUCUCUGUACAAAAGGAGAAUCUGGUGAGAAUCAGCUUAGUGUUUUUUUACAACGGGGAGAAGACGAUGAUACUUUCCAGCUUCAAAAGCUUCUUUAUUUAUUAUUAUUUGAGCUCCUUAUUCUACCCAAGCAAUGGUUUUGAGGUGAUCCAGCCACAGAAUAAGACUAAUAACCCAGAUACAGUUUUCAUCAGCUGUAACUUUACAGCAAACACUGGGACAAUUGUAGAUGUUCGACUCAACAAGGUUUUACCAGAGAAAAAGAUGCUCUGCCAGACUGAAUCUGAAGCCUGUCAUAACAUUAUCGUACUUAAAGACGCUCCAUUCAAGUACAUUUUCAUCUUACUCAAUGCUGGGCCAGAGGCAUGGACCUCAAAGUAUGAAUGUGAGUGGUCAGCAACAAAUAAGGAUGGGACGGACAAAACCGUGACAAGUGCAGCAAACAAAUUAAUUAAACUGCAACUACAAGGUCUUCAGGUCAGAGGUCACGGUUGGUCCUACGUACCAAACUCGUGGGGAUCCAGCUUUUCACGCACCAAAGCUGUGGUAUUCUCUUCCAUUGUCUUUACGCCGUGCAGACCCCACUGACUCUUUCAAAAAGUAGCUGAAGACAUUUCUAUACAAACAAGUUUUUAAUUAAUUUUCUCAUUGUUUUGUUUUAUUUAUAUUUCUGGUUUUAUUGUGAAGCACUUUGUGAUUUUUAUCAGUAAAAAGUGCUAUAAAUACAUCUUACUUACUUACUUUUCUAAAUCUUCAAGGAAACUUUGCCUUAAUCUUGUAUUCAAAUUACAAUAUUUUAUACUAUGUUUUGUGUAGUUUCCACGUGCUUCAGUGUUUCUGCACACGCACACAACAAUGGUACAAUUUCUAAUUAUUGCGGUACUACAUGCCUUAUUGCUAAUAAUAUUAUAUUUUUAUAAAUAUACCUCAAGCUCCCCAUUAGUGGCCAGUUUGGUUUCUGUCUCAUCGCUUGUAUCAUUUUAUGAUACACAUUGUUGAGGGUGGGGGAUACCUACUUAUCGUAGUUUACACAUUUCAAGCUGGAGAAAACGGUGUGCCCAUCAGCAGCCACAGAAUCGGUUCAAUAUCCUUUAUUAAGGAUAAAUGUAAUUGUAACCUCUUAGUUAAUCUGAACGAUAAGCUGUUGUUUUGCUGGAGGGGAACAAAAAAUCAUUGUAUUUGUCAUCACAUGUAGCAAAUAUCAUACCUUGACUUUUGAAUGGCCUGUUGUCUUUAUGUGUCUUUUAUUUCAAAAUAGAUUUGUAUGGUUUCUUUUAACCAAUAAAAAUUAAAUCCAAA